UACGUAGGGUGCAAGCGUUAAUCGGAAUUACUGGGCGUAAAGCGUGCGCAGGCGGUUUUGUAAGUCUGUCGUGAAAGCCCCUGGCUCAACCUGGGAAUUGCGAUGGAGACUGCAAGGCUUGAAUCUGGCAGAGGGGGGUAGAAUUCCACGUGUAGCAGUGAAAUGCGUAGAGAUGUGGAGGAACACCGAUGGCGAAGGCAGCCCCCUGGGUCAAGAUUGACGCUCAUGCACGAAAGCGUGGGGAGCAAACAGG
Molecule: ribosomal RNA, 253 nt
Filed under: uncultured bacterium
Lineage: Bacteria
Description: partial 16S ribosomal RNA
Rfam family: Bacterial small subunit ribosomal RNA
Source: RNAcentral